UGAGGAAUUUUGCACAAUGGGAGCAAUCCUGACGCAGCAACGCCGCGUGGGUGAAGAAGGCCUUCGGGUCGUAAGCCCUGUCAGGUGGGAAGAAUGUCCUGGAAUUGAACAGGUUUCGGGAGUGACGGUACCACCAGAGGAAGCACCGGCUAACUCCGUGCCAGCAGCCGCGGUAAUACGGAGGUUCCAAGCGUUGUUCGGAAUUACUGGGCGUAAAGGGAGCGCAGGUGGGCGGUCCAGUCCAAAGUGGAAGCCCGGGGCUUAACCCCGGAAGUGCUUUGGAUACUAGCCGUCUUGAGUACGCGAGAGGAAGGCGGAAUUCAGGGUGUAGCGGUGAAAUGCUUAGAUAUCCUGAGGAACACCGGUGGCGAAAGCGGCCUUCUGGCGCGAAACUGACACUGAGGCUCGAAAGCGUGGGGAGCAAACG
Molecule: ribosomal RNA, 427 nt
Filed under: uncultured prokaryote
Description: bacterial SSU rRNA
Rfam family: Bacterial small subunit ribosomal RNA
Source: RNAcentral